CGUAGGGUGCGAGCGUUAAUCGGAAUUACUGGGCGUAAAGCGUGCGUAGGCGGUUCGUUGUGUCUGUGGUGAAAGCCCCGGGCUUAACCUGGGAAUUGCCAUGGAAACUGGCGAGCUGGAGUGUGGCAGAGGAGGGUGGAAUUCCGCGUGUAGCAGUGAAAUGCGUAGAGAUGCGGAGGAACACCGAUGGCGAAGGCAGCCCUCUGGGCUAACACUGACGCUCAGGCACGAAAGCGUGGGGAGCAAACAGGAUUAGAUACCCUGGUAGUCCACGCCCUAAACGAUGGCAACUAGGUGUUGGGGAAGCGAUUCUCCAGUACCGUAGCUAACGCGUGAAGUUGCCCGCCUGGGGAGUACGGCCGCAAGGUUA
This 370-nucleotide ribosomal RNA is filed under the name uncultured organism. RNAcentral's name for it is "bacterial SSU rRNA". It matches the Rfam family "Bacterial small subunit ribosomal RNA", at positions 526 to 896 of the family's 1533-position model. The record is from RNAcentral.